AAAUCCGGUUCACUUUAACACUGAGGCGUGACGACGAGGCACUACGGUGCUGAAGCAACAAAUGCCCUGCUUCCAGGAAAAGCCUCUAAGCAUCAGGUAACAUCAAAUCGUACCCCAAACCGACACAGGUGGUCAGGUAGAGAAUACCAAGGCGCUUGAGAGAACUCGGGUGAAGGAACUAGGCAAAAUGGUGCCGUAACUUCGGGAGAAGGCACGCUGACACGUAGGUGAAGUGAUUUACUCAUGGAGCUGAAGUCAGUCGAAGAUACCAGCUGGCUGCAACUGUUUAUUAAAAACACAGCACUGUGCAAACACGAAAGUGGACGUAUACGGUGUGACGCCUGCCCGGUGCCGGAAGGUUAAUUGAUGGGGUCAGCGCAAGCGAAGCUCCUGAUCGAAGCCCCGGUAAACGGCGGCCGUAACUAUAACGGUCCUAAGGUAGCGAAAUUCCUUGUCGGGUAAGUUCCGACCUGCACGAAUGGCGUAAUGAUGGCCAGGCUGUCUCCACCCGAGACUCAGUGAAAUUGAACUCGCUGUGAAGAUGCAGUGUACCCGCGGCAAGACGGAAAGACCCCGUGAACCUUUACUAUAGCUUGACACUGAACAUUGAGCCUUGAUGUGUAGGAUAGGUGGGAGGCUUUGAAGUGUGGACGCCAGUCUGCAUGGAGCCGACCUUGAAAUACCACCCUUUAAUGUUUGAUGUUCUAACGUGGACCCGUUACCCGGGUUGCGGACAGUGUCUGGUGGGUAGUUUGACUGGGGCGGUCUCCUCCUAAAGAGUAACGGAGGAGCACGAAGGUUGGCUAAUCCUGGUCGGACAUCAGGAGGUUAGUGCAAUGGCAUAAGCCAGCUUGACUGCGAGCGUGACGGCGCGAGCAGGUGCGAAAGCAGGUCAUAGUGAUCCGGUGGUUCUGAAUGGAAGGGCCAUCGCUCAACGGAUAAAAGGUACUCCGGGGAUAACAGGCUGAUACCGCCCAAGAGUUCAUAUCGACGGCGGUGUUUGGCACCUCGAUGUCGGCUCAUCACAUCCUGGGGCUGAAGUAGGUCCCAAGGGUAUGGCUGUUCGCCAUUUAAAGUGGUACGCGAGCUGGGUUUAGAACGUCGUGAGACAGUUCGGUCCCUAUCUGCCGUGGGCGCUGGAGAACUGAGGGGGGCUGCUCCUAGUACGAGAGGACCGGAGUGGACGCAUCACUGGUGUUCGGGUUGUCAUGCCAAUGGCACUGCCCGGUAGCUAAAUGCGGAAGAGAUAAGUGCUGAAAGCAUCUAAGCACGAAACUUGCCCCGAGAUGAGUUCUCCCUGAGACUUUAGGUCUCCUGAAGGAACGUUGAAGACGACGACGUUGAUAGGCCGGGUGUGUAAGCGCAGCGAUGCGUUGAGCUAACCGGUACUAAUGAACCGUGAGGCUUAACCUUACAACGCCGAAG
This 1425-nucleotide ribosomal RNA is filed under the name Salmonella enterica. Its description in RNAcentral is "partial 23S ribosomal RNA". It matches the Rfam family "Bacterial large subunit ribosomal RNA", at positions 1538 to 2925 of the family's 2925-position model. The record is from RNAcentral. RNAcentral also lists the same sequence under 1 other name. Lineage: Bacteria; Pseudomonadati; Pseudomonadota; Gammaproteobacteria; Enterobacterales; Enterobacteriaceae.